GAGUUUGAUCCUGCCUCAGAUUUAACGCUGGCGGCAUGCCUUACACAUGCAAGUCGAACGGCAGCAUGAUCUAGCUUGCUAGAUUGAUGGCGAGUGGCGAACGGGUGAGUAAUACAUCGGAACGUGCCCUGUAGUGGGGGAUAACUAGUCGAAAGAUUAGCUAAUACCGCAUACGACCUGAGGGUGAAAGUGGGGGACCGCAAGGCCUCAUGCUAUAGGAGCGGCCGAUGUCUGAUUAGCUAGUUGGUGAGGUAAAGGCUCACCAAGGCGACGAUCAGUAGCUGGUCUGAGAGGACGAUCAGCCACACUGGGACUGAGACACGGCCCAGACUCCUACGGGAGGCAGCAGUGGGGAAUUUUGGACAAUGGGGGCAACCCUGAUCCAGCAAUGCCGCGUGUGUGAAGAAGGCCUUCGGGUUGUAAAGCACUUUUGUCCGGAAAGAAAUCGCACUUACUAAUAUUAGGUGUGGAUGACGGUACCGGAAGAAUAAGGACCGGCUAACUACGUGCCAGCAGCCGCGGUAAUACGUAGGGUCCAAGCGUUAAUCGGAAUUACUGGGCGUAAAGCGUGCGCAGGCGGUUGUGCAAGACCGAUGUGAAAUCCCCGGGCUUAACCUGGGAAUUGCAUUGGUGACUGCACGGCUAGAGUGUGUCAGAGGGGGGUAGAAUUCCACGUGUAGCAGUGAAAUGCGUAGAGAUGUGGAGGAAUACCGAUGGCGAAGGCAGCCCCCUGGGAUAACACUGACGCUCAUGCACGAAAGCGUGGGGAGCAAACAGGAUUAGAUACCCUGGU
RNAcentral lists this ribosomal RNA (793 nucleotides) under uncultured bacterium. RNAcentral's name for it is "bacterial SSU rRNA". It matches the Rfam family "Bacterial small subunit ribosomal RNA", at positions 9 to 791 of the family's 1533-position model. The record is from RNAcentral.